Molecule: non-coding RNA, 74 nt
Organism: Bacteroidetes bacterium GWF2_33_38
Lineage: Bacteria; Pseudomonadati; Bacteroidota
Source: Rfam
GGACUCAUAGCUCAGUUGGUUAGAGCACCUGACUCAUAAUCAGGGGGUCCCUGGUUCAAACCCAGGUGGGUCCA